RNAcentral lists this unclassified non-coding RNA (376 nucleotides) under soil metagenome. Its description in RNAcentral is "partial contains 5.8S ribosomal RNA, internal transcribed spacer 2, and large subunit ribosomal RNA". The stretch from base 1 to 120 matches the Rfam family "5.8S ribosomal RNA", at positions 35 to 154 of the family's 154-position model. The record is from RNAcentral.
GAUGAAGAACGCAGCGAAAUGCGAUAAGUAAUGUGAAUUGCAGAAUUCAGUGAAUCAUCGAAUCUUUGAACGCAUCUUGCGCUCCUUGGUAUUCUGAGGAGCAUGCCUGUUUGAGUGUCAUUAAAUUCUCAACUACACUGACUUUGAAUUGGUGUGGCUUGGAUUUGGGGGGAAAAUUGUUGUGGGCUUUUUGUAUAGUCUGCUCCCCUGAAAUUGAUUAGCGGUACCUUUGUGGAACUGUCUAUAGGUGUGAUAAUUAUCUACAUCUUAGACAUCUGCUGGAAUGCUGCUUUCUAAACCUUACUUGUAUUGACAAUCUUGACCUCAAAUCAGGUAGGACUACCCGCUGAACUUAAGCAUAUCAAUAAGCGGAGGA